UUUUCAUGAUUUAAGAUCUUGGGAAUAGGUACUUUUGAGUCUUUUAAAGUUUUUUCUUUUAAAAAAUAUUUUAUUUGCUUUAAUGAGCCAAGAUCUACCUUCUCACCUUCUCCUCCCCAUUGAGAACACAAAUAAAACAAAAUCCAUUACAAACACAUAGAGAAAAUAAAAUACAAUUUCCACAUUGACCAUUACAAAAGAAAAAUGCUUUUAUAUCAUUCCAAAUUCCAAACUAUUUAUCUCUCUUUCAGGAGACUAGCACUUUUUUUUUUCAUUAAUCCUAUGAAAUUCCCAUUAACCAUUGUGCUAAAAAGAUUUCUAUACAAUUUUAUUCUGUCACAUUUAUGUACCAUAACUUAUUUAACCAUUCCUCAAUUUAUGGACAUACCCUCAAAUUCUUUGCCACUUCAAAAAGAGCAGUAAAUAUUUUUGUAUAUCCUUAAAUUUUGUUUUGCCCCAGACUAAUCCCUCCCUUAACCUGUCCCCCCUUCUAAUUUCCCUUUCCCUUCCUAGUGAAAUCUAUUUCUGUACCCUGCCUUCUUUUGAUCAAUUCAGAAGAGAAUGAGUUUGAAGUGUCAAUCUCCACUGCUCCCUCCUCCUUGUUUAUUUAAGCAUCUACUUGUGUACUCUGAUUAUAUGAAAAAGUUUUCCUUAAACUUCAUUUCCAUUCCCUUCCUCCUCCAGUGUAUUUCUGCUGUUUCUCUUUCCUUAAGUUCAAGACAUAACAGAACCACUCCCAAGUCUUGCCUAAUUGGACUCCCUCUCUGAACCUUGAUGAUGAUAAAAUUCAAAAACAGCAUGUAUCAUUGUUUUAAAUUGUCAGCAUGGUGCAGCACUUUGAUCUUCCUUAAAGACACACAGAAAACAGUUUAACAGAGAUGCACAGGGAAACCUGCCUGUACUCUAAUGUAUUCCUGAAGGUGAAUGUGUUGAUAAGUCGUGGAAAUGGAGGCAAACUUCAUCCAAGUUCAACCAUUGAGGGCUGCCUCAAGCUGAAGAUGAAACGUGGGCCUCUGGGAGUGAUUUGAAUGAGCUGGACCUGAUAGAGUUAUCAGGCUCCCACAGAAAUGAUGCCUGACAUUUCUGGACAUUGUUAUAAUCAGUAUUUAAGCAACUCACCUGGACUCCGGUGGGGACCACUGUGCCAAAAAGAAUUCUUCUGAGAUCCGUAGCAGUCUGUGCACAUAUCUGUGUGGCUGCCUGGGAGAGAUGGAGCCAAAGGGGACAGAGGUACCAGUCUAAACUGGUUUCUGCAGCUUGACAGUCCUGUGGGCCAUAGAAGUUUCCCAUUAGAUGAAGAAACUAAGCCUGAGGAGGUUAAGUGACUUAUGAUAUCACAGAUAGGAUUUCUAAAACAUGGCUCAACAGGAACACAUUCUCUACCUACUUUGGUCCUUGGAGAAAGUGGACUUGAACUUAAAGUGGUUGCUCCUGGCAUUCUUCUGCUCAAAUUGACUUCUAGGUGUGGCAAAAAUAAAGGAUGAGUUGCCCAAUUAGGCAACAGAGGGAACAAAGCUCUGGGUCUGGAGUCAGUAACAUCAGGAGUUCAAAUCUGGCUUCAGACACUUAGCUGUGUGACUCAAGUUAAUUCACUUAAUUUUUGUUUGCCUCAAGCUUUUCUUUAUUGUAAAAUGGGGAUAAUAAUAGGACCUGCCUCCCAGGGUAAUGUGAGGAUAAACUGAGAUAAUAUUUGUAAAGAGCUUAGCCUAGUACCUGGCAUGUGACAUGUUAUUUACUAUGACUAGAUUAUCUCUUGUGGAGCACAGUUUCUUGGCUUCUCCACUGAUCCACUGCUGUGCAGAUUCAAGUUGGUCACUCUUUAGACUUUGGGUCACUAGGCUCUGUUGCUAUGGCUAUGGCAGGUUCUACUGUUACAGCUAUGUGAAUCUUCAAUGGAGAGGGCAGGUAGGUGUCUCAGUGGAUAGAGAUCCAAAACUAGAGAAAGGUAGUCAAAUUUGGCCUCAGAUAUAUCCUAGGUAUGUGACUCUGGGCAACUCACUUAACCCCCACACUUCUGCCUUGGAACCAAUACUUGGUAUCAAUAUUUUAAGUCAGAAGAUAUGUAAAAACAUUUUUUUAAUUAAAAUAAUUUCUAUGAACUCUUCAAAUCUGGUCUCAGAUACUCCCUAGUUAUGUGACCUUGGGCAAGUCCCUUAACCCCAGCUGUCUAGCUAACCUUUGCUGACAGAAGAUAAGGAUCACUUUUUUAAAAAUGGGGUCGAUAAGUAGCUCAGUUGAUAGAGAGCCAGGUGUGGAGACAAGAGGUUCUGGAUUCAAAUCUGCCCACUGUAAAAAUGGAGAAUUGAACUCUGGACUCUAACACCACAAAUACUCUUCCUAGUUGUGAGAUCCUAGGCAAGUCACCUAGUCAAUUGCCUAGCCCUUCCUGAUCUUCUGCCUUAAAACUGAUACUUGGUACCAAUUCUAAGAGAGAAGUUAAGAAUUAAAAAAAAAAAUUCUUCUAUGGACUCCUGAUACUCAACCUCUGGUGGCUUUUCUAACCUUUCAAAACUCAGAAGGUCACUCUGUUUCAGAUAACCAUUUACCAAGGAUCUGAGAAGACUAAAGAACAGAGACAGAAACAAUAGGAGUGCCGGGUAUUAGAGGUUCCUUGGUGAUCUGGGUGGGGAGAUGAGGCAACCCAUGGCAAGCAGUAGCCUGCUGUGGCUUCCACAACUGCCACUCUCUCUCCACCUGAAGGCUUGCAAGAUUACAUUCCUGCCCAACCAUCAACAAAGCAUAUGCUUUUAAUUUGUUUUUCCUCCUCCCACUCAUGAGAACCUGAUUUUUACUCCUGUUCAUACUUUUUUGCCUGAUUCACAGGUGACGAAAGAAGUACAUGGUAAAAAAUGAUUUUUUAUAUGGUGCUCAGGGGCUUUCAAGUGCCUCACAUAUAUUAUGUCAUCUUUUACUCAUAUCUACUCUCUGAAGAUAGGUGCUAUUAUUAUCCUCAUUUUACAGGUGAGAAAGAUUAAGUACUUACCCAAGGUCACUCAACUAAUAUAUAUAUACCCAAAGAGAUAAAGCUCUGGUCUUUCCCAUUCUGAAUCUAGCACAUAAUCCACUCUAUCAUGCUUUGACUUUUCAAGAUAACCAGCUAAGCCAGGAGAAGUGGCCUUCCCAGAAAAAGUAGAAGCCUAACUGGCUCAUGCAUGCACUGUACUCAAUACCCUGGCUUUAUAAACAUUUGGUACUGACUACCAGUGGAUAUAAAGACUGCUUCCACAAUAGUGAUGUAGCAGCAAGUGGCAAGUAGGAUAUAUGAUCCAUUGCUUUCAUUCAGGAGAAAUUAAAAAGCAUUUAUUAAUUCAAUUAAUUAAAAUGAAUAAACAUUAAGCAUCUACUAUGUGUAAAGAAUGUUAAAAGGCAAAUUUUUUUAAAUGGUCCCUUUCUUUAAGGAGUUUAACCCCUAUUGAGUACCUAGAAGAGCAGUCGCAAAAGAGGCAGAAGGACUCUAAAGAUUAGGAGAAUCUGGAAAGACUUUUUUAUUUUUGUGGAGGGGAGGGGGUUGAAGGAAGCAAGGAGGAGGUCUAUUAGAAAGGAGGAGACAGUUGGAGGAAGUUGGCCAACUGUCAAAAGCAGCAGAGGGGCCAAAGAGUGGGAAAACAACAACAACAACAAACAACAAACCCAUAGAUUUAAAAGGCAUCUUAGGGGCUACCUAUUCCAGCUCCAACAUUUUCCAAAUAAGUUAACAGAGGCCUAGGGAGGUGAAGUGAUUUGCUCAGAAUCACACAGGUCAUAAGUAUUAGGUGGAGGAAUUAGAUAAAAGCAGCUUUAACUCCAGAGGUAAGUCUUUGUUUACUGUGUCUUAAUAAUUGAAUCUGGCAAUUAAGAGGUCAGUAGGGUCUGGUCAGAAACAUUUUUGUAAGGCAGUGGGGGUUGAAGGUCAAAUGCAAGGAAGGAAGGCAAUGAAUAGUGAGAAAGCCAAGGAAUCAUACAUACAUAGACAUCAGUUGCAUAUUCAUGGUUCAAAUGAAGUGAAUGGUUGUAGGAAUUACACUGGAAAUGCAUUUACCUAAUACAAGUUCUACUAUGACAGAAGAGAUGUCAUCAUGUGUGUUUUGGCAAGAUUUUUACUCUAAUAGUAGAAUUUAUAUGAAGUUGUUCCGUCCAUCUUAUAGAAUGUUACAUGCUAUUUUCUAGCAUAUAUCACAAAAUCUUAUUUCAGGGUGUUGGGGCAUUGCUUUCACCAUAUAUCAGAAAUAAAAAUACUACUGCUUAUUAAUCUAGGGAUGCAAAGUGGUGAUAGAAGUUUUUCAGAGGUAGAUAUACAGCAGAAAUAUACAAUUAUCCCCAAAAGGAAAAAAAAAAGCAAUUCCCCAAACUCUAGUCCUUUCUCUCUCUAAAAGCAUCAUCUCUAAUAUUUGUUUUGCAUCCCAGUGGGGGUGGUGUUGGUUAAAUUUCAGUGAUUCUUGCAUAGAUUAGACUAAAAAUAGUCACAGUCACACUUCACUACCACACUUUAGUUGCUUCUUUUUUAGUUUUGGGGAUUCCUUUAUAACAGGUUUUUAGUUUCUUAAAGUUUUCCCUUAAAUAAAAGUGAUCAUCUUUUCCAUCAUGGCAUUUGUCUUGUAAAUGCUUUUAUUCCUUUUAUAGGCUCAGAGGACCAGAGCAAUGGAUAGAGAUGUGGGGUCUAGAAUCAGAAAGACUCAUCUUUCUGAGUUCAAAUCUGGCCUCAGAGACUUUUUAGUUGUGUGUCCCUGGGCAAGAGUCACUUAAUCCCGUUUGCCUCAGUUUCUUCAUCUGUAAAUGAGCUAGAGAAAGAAAUGGCAAAUUACUCCGCUAUCUCUGCUGAGAAAACCCCAAAGGGAGUCACAAAGAUCAAUAACAAAGACUAGAGCUGGAAAGGACCUCAGAGGCUAUAUUUAGUUCAGUCCUGUUGUUUUGCCAAGGAGGAAACCAAAGCCCAGAGAGCUUGUGAUUUACCCAAGACCAUAGAGUUUAUAAGCAUCAGAAAUGAGAUUUUGAACCCAGGCCCUGAUUCCAGGGUGCCUCUUUUUUCCACUGUAUAACCUAGAUAAUUUUAACCUAGAUAAUUUCCCUUCUGUGUUGAUUUUGUUUAUAUCUUCAUACUUCUUUUGCCUAACAAGAAUCAGUCAUACUUCUCUAAAUAGGAAGACUUUUUAAAAAGCAUUCCUCCUUACCAACAAUCAUGUGAAGAAAGCAGUAUAGAUAUUAUUGCAAUUUUUUUUACAGAUGAGGAAACUGUGGUUGUCAGGCAAGGUUAAGUUAUUUGAUCAAGUUCAUUUAAAUAGUAUGUAGUAGAUCUCAUGUUGCACUCAGGACUCUUUCAGAUUCAAUGCCACUACAAUAUAAUCUAUUCCAUUCCAUUCCAUUCCAUUCCAUUUAUAGGUAGGAAUAGAAAACAUAGCACACAAGGGAGGUAUUUGUUAGUAUUCUUCAAGACAGCUAGAGUCCAAAAUGAAACAUUUUUUUCCCUUAAAAAUUCAUGGAUUUUAUCCACAUCCAGAGAACUAUGCGGAGUAAAAUCACAGAAGAAAAACAUAGGAUGUGGUUCAAUGGGGAUACGUUGGGGAUGCUGACCUUAAAUGAUCACUCUAUUGCAAAUAUCAAUAAUAUGGAAAUAGGUCUUGAACAAUGAUACAUGUAAA
This is a non-coding RNA of Monodelphis domestica (gray short-tailed opossum), 5615 nucleotides long. The record is from RefSeq and is a predicted model, not a curated record. NCBI's taxonomy places the organism in Eukaryota, Metazoa, Chordata, Mammalia, Didelphimorphia, Didelphidae.